AUUGAACGCUGGCGGCACGCUCUACACAUGCAAGUCGAACGGUAACAGGGUGCUUGCACCGCUGACGAGUGGCGAACGGGUGAGUAAUGCGUCGGAACGCACCGAGUAAUGGGGGAUAACGCAGCGAAAGCUGUGCUAAUACCGCAUACGCUCUGAGGAGGAAAGCGGGGGACCUUCGGGCCUCGCGUUAUUCGAGCGGCCGACGUCUGAUUAGCUAGUAGGUGAGGUAAGAGCUCACCUAGGCGACGAUCAGUAGCGGGUCUGAGAGGAUGGUCCGCCACACUGGGACUGAGACACGGGCCAGACUCCUACGGGAGGCAGCAGUGGGGAAUUUUGGACAAUGGGCGCAAGCCUGAUCCAGCCAUGCCGCGUGUCUGAAGAAGGCCUUCGGGUUGUAAAGGACUUUUGUCAGGGAGGAAAUCCUUAGCGCUAAUACCGUUGAGGGAUGACAGUACCUGAAGAAUAAGCACCGGCUAACUACGUGCCAGCAGCCGCAGUAA
RNAcentral lists this ribosomal RNA (500 nucleotides) under uncultured bacterium. Its description in RNAcentral is "partial 16S ribosomal RNA". It matches the Rfam family "Bacterial small subunit ribosomal RNA", at positions 30 to 523 of the family's 1533-position model. The record is from RNAcentral.